RNAcentral lists this ribosomal RNA (897 nucleotides) under uncultured bacterium. RNAcentral's name for it is "bacterial SSU rRNA". It matches the Rfam family "Bacterial small subunit ribosomal RNA", at positions 8 to 916 of the family's 1533-position model. The record is from RNAcentral.
AGAGUUUGAUCAUGGCUCAGGACGAACGCUGGCGGCGUGCUUAACACAUGCAAGUCGAACGGUGAACCUCCUUCGGGAGGGGAUUAGUGGCGAACGGGUGAGUAACACGUGGGCAACCUGCCCCGCACACUGGGAUAAGCCCUGGAAACGGGGUCUAACACCGGAUAUGACUCAAGGUCGCAUGGUCUUGGGUGGAAAGCUCCGGCGGUGCGGGAUGGGCCCGCGGCCUAUCAGCUUGUUGGUGAGGUAACGGCUCACCAAGGCGACGACGGGUAGCCGGCCUGAGAGGGCGACCGGCCACACUGGGACUGAGACACGGCCCAGACUCCUACGGGAGGCAGCAGUGGGGAAUAUUGCACAAUGGGCGCAAGCCUGAUGCAGCGACGCCGCGUGAGGGAUGAAGGCCUUCGGGUUGUAAACCUCUUUCAGCAGGGAAGAAGCUCUUGAGUGACGGUACCUGCAGAAGAAGCGCCGGCUAACUACGUGCCAGCAGCCGCGGUAAUACGUAGGGCGCGAGCGUUGUCCGGAAUUAUUGGGCGUAAAGAGCUCGUAGGCGGCUUGUCGCGUCGGUUGUGAAAGCCCGGGGCUUAACUCCGGGUCUGCAGUCGAUACGGGCAGGCUAGAGUUCGGUAGGGGAGAUCGGAAUUCCUGGUGUAGCGGUGAAAUGCGCAGAUAUCAGGAGGAACACCGGUGGCGAAGGCGGAUCUCUGGGCCGAUACUGACGCUGAGGAGCGAAAGCGUGGGGAGCGAACAGGAUUAGAUACCCUGGUAGUCCACGCCGUAAACGGUGGGCACUAGGUGUGGGCGGCAUUCCACGUCGUCCGUGCCGUAGCUAACGCAUUAAGUGCCCCGCCUGGGGAGUACGGCCGCAAGGCUAAAACUCAAAGGAAUUGACGG